UGAACGCUGGCGGCAUGCCUUACACAUGCAAGUCGAACGGCAGCACGGGUGCUUGCACCUGGUGGCGAGUGGCGAACGGGUGAGUAAUACAUCGGAACAUGUCCUGUAGUGGGGGAUAGCCCGGCGAAAGCCGGAUUAAUACCGCAUACGAUCUACGGAUGAAAGCGGGGGACCUUCGGGCCUCGCGCUAUAGGGUUGGCCGAUGGCUGAUUAGCUAGUUGGUGGGGUAAAGGCCUACCAAGGCGACGAUCAGUAGCUGGUCUGAGAGGACGACCAGCCACACUGGGACUGAGACACGGCCCAGACUCCUACGGGAGGCAGCAGUGGGGAAUUUUGGACAAUGGGCGAAAGCCUGAUCCAGCAAUGCCGCGUGUGUGAAGAAGGCCUUCGGGUUGUAAAGCACUUUUGUCCGGAAAGAAAUCCUUGGCUCUAAUACAGUCGGGGGAUGACGGUACCGGAAGAAUAAGCACCGGCUAACUACGUGCCAGCAGCCGCGGUAAUACGUAGGGUGCGAGCGUUAAUCGGAAUUACUGGGCGUAAAGCGUGCGCAGGCGGUUUGCUAAGACCGAUGUGAAAUCCCCGGGCUCAACCUGGGAACUGCAUUGGUGACUGGCAGGCUAGAGUAUGGCAGAGGGGGGUAGAAUUCCACGUGUAGCAGUGAAAUGCGUAGAGAUGUGGAGGAAUACCGAUGGCGAAAGGCAGCCCCCUGGGCCCAAUACUGACGCUCAUGCACGAAAGCGUGGGGGAGCAAACAGGAUUAGAUACCCUGGUAGUCCACGCCCUAAACGAUGUCAACUAGUUGUUGGGGAUUCAUUUCCUUAGUAACGUAGCUAACGCGUGAAGUUGACCGCCUGGGGAGUACGGUCGCAAGAUUAAAACUCAAAGGAAUUGACGGGGACCCGCACAAGCGGUGGAUGAUGUGGAUUAAUUCGAUGCAACGCGAAAAACCUUACCUACCCUUGACAUGGUCGGAAUCCCGCUGAGAGGUGGGAGUGCUCGAAAGAGAACCGGCGCACAGGUGCUGCAUGGCUGUCGUCAGCUCGUGUCGUGAGAUGUUGGGUUAAGUCCCGCAACGAGCGCAACCCUUGUCCUUAGUUGCUACGCAAGAGCACUCUAAGGAGACUGCCGGUGACAAACCGGAGGAAGGUGGGGAUGACGUCAAGUCCUCAUGGCCCUUAUGGGUAGGGCUUCACACGUCAUACAAUGGUCGGAACAGAGGGUUGCCAACCCGCGAGGGGGAGCUAAUCCCAGAAAACCGAUCGUAGUCCGGAUUGCACUCUGCAACUCGAGUGCAUGAAGCUGGAAUCGCUAGUAAUCGCGGAUCAGCAUGCCGCGGUGAAUACGUUCCCGGGUCUUGUACACACCGC
This 1367-nucleotide ribosomal RNA is filed under the name uncultured beta proteobacterium. RNAcentral describes it as "16S ribosomal RNA". It matches the Rfam family "Bacterial small subunit ribosomal RNA", at positions 30 to 1393 of the family's 1533-position model. Lineage: Bacteria; Pseudomonadati; Pseudomonadota; Betaproteobacteria. The record is from RNAcentral.